Long non-coding RNA from Juglans microcarpa x Juglans regia, 645 nucleotides. RefSeq lists it as uncharacterized. The record is from RefSeq and is a predicted model, not a curated record. The transcript has 2 exons. Lineage: Eukaryota; Viridiplantae; Streptophyta; Magnoliopsida; Fagales; Juglandaceae.
UUCCCAAGCUUCCCGACCCUUCCUCUGCUAGAAUUUCUUCUCUUUUCCUUCAGGGUUUGAACUUUACAUGGUAUCUAACAUUUUUUUCUUGCAUGGCGCCGUCUCACAAAUUUGUCUCUGAGGAUGCUACACCUUCUUUCUUUCUUCAUCCUAGUGACAUCCCUGGUGUUCUCAUCGUCAUUAACCCCUUGUCGGUGACAACUACCAUGCUUGGUCUUGAUCGAUGUCCAUGGCGCUUUUGACGAAGAACAAACUCGGUUUUGUCGAUGGAUCUCUCACCAUGCCUUCAGAAUCUACAGAUCCUCUUAUUUCUCCAUGGUUCCGAUGCAAUAAUAUGAACCUGACUCGUUGGUGACUGAUUAGAGUGGGUAGAAAGCAAAGGACUUUAUAUACUAUAACAAUCAGGCUCUUUUUUUUUCCUAAACAUACUUCAAAUACUGCCUGCUUACUUGAUAACAUGCAUUUACAUGCUUGUUCUAUAUCAUCCAAAAGCUCCAAAUAUGAGUUUUGGCAUAAUAGACUUGGUCAUCCUUCUAAUUCUAGGAUGAUAUUUGUGAAUAAAUUUGUUCUACAUUUUAUUGUUGCAUGCAAUCCUUGUAUGGUUUGUCCAUUAGCUAAACAAAGAAAAUUACAUUUUCCUAAUAA